This 253-nucleotide ribosomal RNA is filed under the name uncultured bacterium. RNAcentral's name for it is "partial 16S ribosomal RNA". It matches the Rfam family "Bacterial small subunit ribosomal RNA", at positions 524 to 776 of the family's 1533-position model. The record is from RNAcentral.
UACAGAGGGGGCUAGCGUUAUUCGGAAUUAUUGGGCGUAAAGGGCGCGUAGGCGGCCAUGCGUGCCUUCCGUGAAAUCCCUCGGCUUAACUGAGGACGUGCGGAAGAAACUGCAAGGCUCGAGUCCGGGAGAGGGGGGUGGAAUUCCCAGUGUAGCGGUGAAAUGCGUAGAUAUUGGGAGGAACACCGGUGGCGAAGGCGGCCCCCUGGACCGGUACUGACGCUGAGGCGCGAAAGCGUGGGUAGCAAACGGG